RNAcentral lists this ribosomal RNA (492 nucleotides) under uncultured bacterium. RNAcentral's name for it is "partial 16S ribosomal RNA". It matches the Rfam family "Bacterial small subunit ribosomal RNA", at positions 29 to 507 of the family's 1533-position model. The record is from RNAcentral.
AGUGAACGCUGGCGGUAGGCCUAACACAUGCAAGUCGAACGGCAGCACAUUAAUAGCUUGCUCUUACGGGUGGCGAGUGGCGGACGGGUGAGGAAUACAUCGGAAUCUACUUUUUCGUGGGGGCUAACGUAGGGAAACUUACGCUAAUACCGCAUACGACCUCCGGGUGAAAGCAGGGGAUCUUCGGACCUUGCGCGAUUGCAUGAGCCGUUGUCGGAUUAUCUAGUUGGCGGGGUAAAGGCCCACCAAGGCGACGAUCCGUAGCUGGUCUGAGAGGAUGAUGAGCCACACUGGAAGUGAGACACGGUCCAGACUCCUACGGGAGGCAGCAGUGGGGAAUAUUGGAAAAUGGGCGCAAGACUGAUCCAGCCAUACCGCGUGGGUGAAGAAGGCCUUCGGGUUGUAAAGCCCUUUUGUUGGGAAAGAAAAGCAGCAGGUUAAUACCCCGCUGUUCUGACGGUACCCAAAGAAUAAGCACCGGCUAACUUCGUG